AGGGGUAUAGCUCAGCAGGUAGAGCAGCGGUCUCCAAAACCGCGUGUCGUGGGUUCGAUUCCUACUGCCCCUGCCA
RNAcentral lists this transfer RNA (76 nucleotides) under Oscillospiraceae bacterium. RNAcentral describes it as "tRNA-Trp". It matches the Rfam family "tRNA". Rfam says of the family: Transfer RNA (tRNA) molecules are approximately 80 nucleotides in length. Their secondary structure includes four short double-helical elements and three loops (D, anti-codon, and T loops). The record is from RNAcentral. Lineage: Bacteria; Bacillati; Bacillota; Clostridia; Eubacteriales; Oscillospiraceae.